This 901-nucleotide ribosomal RNA is filed under the name Simplicillium sp. RNAcentral describes it as "partial large subunit ribosomal RNA". It matches the Rfam family "Eukaryotic large subunit ribosomal RNA", at positions 39 to 972 of the family's 3401-position model. The record is from RNAcentral. Lineage: Eukaryota; Fungi; Ascomycota; Sordariomycetes; Hypocreales; Cordycipitaceae.
CAUAUCAAUAAGCGGAGGAAAAGAAACCAACAGGGAUUGCCCCAGUAACGGCGAGUGAAGCGGCAACAGCUCAAAUUUGAAAUCUGGCCCCUAGGGUCCGAGUUGUAAUUUGCAGAGGAUGCUUUUGACAAGGUGCCUUCCGAGUUCCCUGGAACGGGACGCCAUAGAGGGUGAGAGCCCCGUCUGGUCGGAUACCGCGUCUCUGUAAAGCUCCUUCGACGAGUCGAGUAGUUUGGGAAUGCUGCUCAAAAUGGGAGGUAUAUGUCUUCUAAAGCUAAAUAUUGGCCAGAGACCGAUAGCGCACAAGUAGAGUGAUCGAAAGAUGAAAAGCACUUUGAAAAGAGGGUUAAAAAGUACGUGAAAUUGUUGAAAGGGAAGCGCCUAUGACCAGACUUGGGCCCGGUGAAUCAUCCAGCGUUCUCGCUGGUGCACUUUGCCGGGCACAGGCCAGCAUCAGUUUGGCUUGGGGGAAAAAGGCUUUGGGAACGUAGCUCCUCGGAGUGUUAUAGACCAUUGCAUAAUACCCUGGGCCGGACUGAGGUUCGCGCAUCUGCAAGGAUGCUGGCGUAAUGGUCAUCAGCGACCCGUCUUGAAACACGGACCAAGGAGUCGUCUUCGUAUGCGAGUGUUCGGGUGUAAAACCCCUACGCGUAAUGAAAGUGAACGCAGGUGAGAGCUUCGGCGCAUCAUCGACCGAUCCUGAUGUUCUCGGAUGGAUUUGAGUAAGAGCAUACGGGGCCGGACCCGAAAGAAGGUGAACUAUGCCUGUAUAGGGUGAAGCCAGAGGAAACUCUGGUGGAGGCUCGCAGCGGUUCUGACGUGCGAAUCGAUCGUCAAAUAUGGGCAUGGGGGCGAAAGACUAAUCGAACCUUCUAGUAGCUGGUUUCCGCCGAAGUCCCCC